RNAcentral lists this long non-coding RNA (1916 nucleotides) under Homo sapiens (human). Its description in RNAcentral is "non-protein coding lnc-TAF7-6:1". The record is from RNAcentral. Lineage: Eukaryota; Metazoa; Chordata; Mammalia; Primates; Hominidae.
AGAAUACAAAGAAAAUUUACAUUUAUUAUACCGCAAAAAAACUCAUACAUUUAUAAAUACCAGUAACAUGCAUAGAAUUGGAAUAAGAUGGUUACUUUCUAAUAAAAGGAGACACCUCCAAUGGGCAAAGCAGUAAAAAAGGACUUUCCACAAAUUAAACGAGACUAGCCUCAGUAGAUCCUUAUUAACACUUAAGUGAAUUCAAAGCUCUUCCUGAAACUGGGAUUUGCCUCGCUAACCCUCUCUGCACCCUGAGCAACGAAGUUGGGGAUAAUUGGCUUCAGGAACUUGAACUCAUUUGUCCCGGAGCCUCCAGUCAGACACACCUCGUACUGGUAGCUCUGGGACAGGGUCCCGGUGCCGCUCACGUCCACCAUCUGCCCUGGAAAGGGGCCCUCGGGCACCGAGCAGCGACCCACCGAGGCCGCCCUGCUCCUCCUGCACAGCCGCACCGCCACGAACAGGAGCACCGAGAAGAGGAAGAGCGAAGACACCGAGGUCGGUGACGGUGAUGGUGAUGUUGUAUUCGGAUCUGGUCUCCCGGUCCAGGGCCGUGCUUAUCACCAGAGUGUAAAAGUUCUCAACAGAAGGUUUCAAGAAAAAAGGAAGAUCAUCUUGGAUGGAGCACACCAUCCUUCCGUUGUCUCCGGAGUCAGGAUCUGAAACGCUGAAUACAGCAAUGAGGGUGUCCUGCAAGUUUUCUGGGAUCUGAUUGAUAAGUGUCGACAUAGUUAGUUCCGGAGGAUUGUCAUUCAAAUCCAUCACUUGGACAAAUACCACACAAGUUCCAGAUAGGCCCCCACCAUCUGUCGCCUGAAUAUUUACUGUGUAUGUCUGGAUGGAUUCGAAAUCCAGUUUCUGUCUUAAAAGCAGUUCUCCCGAUUUUGCACUUAAUCGAAACGUUUUGCGAAUGUCUUCAGAUGCUUGGGAAAAUGCAUAAGAUAUUUCUCCAUUAGUUCCAAUGUCUAAAUCCCUGGCAGAGACGAUGGCAACCUGGGAUCCAACGGGGCUGUCCUCCGGGAUCUGCACCUCAUAGAGCAGCUUUGCAAACUCUGGGACGUUGUCAUUGAUGUCCACAACUUCAAUCCGUACCAGGGCCGUGCCGGACCUGGGUGGACUCCCGCCAUCUAGCGCUGUGAGGGUUAACCUGAUCUCAGGCUGCUCCUCGCGAUCCAGGGCUCUGUUCAGCACCAGCUGUGGUAAUAUUAUGCCAUCGAGACUGUCUUGUAAAUUAAGAUGAAAGUGGAAAUUGGGACUGAUUGUGUAAUUUUGGAGACUGUUGGUUCCUACAUCCAAGUCCUGGGCACGUUCUAUUAAGAAAGUAGUUCCAGGAGUGAUACUUUCUGGAAUUUUCAAAAGUAUUUCUUUGUCUAGGAAAACUGGGGAAUGAUCAUUUACGUCCCUAAUCCGUAGCUCCGCCUGAAAAAACUGCAAGGGAUUUUCUAGUAACACCUGGAAAGGUAGGACACAGGGCUCUGUGGGGCCGCACAGCUCCUCCCGGUCCAAUUUCUCAUUUAACAACAAAUCCCCGGUCUGCCUAUCGAACUGCAAAUGCAUUUUUUUUCCUUUGGAAACGACCCUGGCCCCCCUCACAGCAAGUUCUCCUAUCUCCAGCCCCAGGUCUUUUAACAAAUUGGCCACAAAGGAGCCACUCUCCGUUUCCUCGGCCACUGAAUAGUGCCUAGGCUGGCAACUAGCCUGAGCUAUGCCCAGCAAAACAAAGAAUAUCAGGACUUGCCUUUGUUUCGGAACGCGCUCCUUCCCCUCUCCGGCCUCCAUUGCUUUCUGGUCUCUCACCAAACGUGCUCCAGCUCUGGCUCACGUUGUCGCUAACUCUAUCUCCCCGUAUCUCGCUGAUACUGGGAUGAGUGGACAAUCCUAGGGCCCGGAUUUCCCGGAGCGACCGCCUUAGAAAG